UGCGUAGGUGGUCAGGUAAGUCGGAUGUGAAAUCUCGGAGCUCAACUCCGAAACUGCAUUGGAAACUACCUGGCUCGAGGAAUGGAGGGGGGACUGGAAUUCUCGGUGUAGCAGUGAAAUGCGUAGAUAUCGAGAGGAACACCAGUGGCGAAGGCGAGUCCCUGGACAUCUCCUGACACUGAGGCACGAAAGCUAGGGGAGCAAACA
This 207-nucleotide ribosomal RNA is filed under the name uncultured bacterium. RNAcentral describes it as "partial 16S ribosomal RNA". It matches the Rfam family "Bacterial small subunit ribosomal RNA", at positions 568 to 774 of the family's 1533-position model. The record is from RNAcentral.